RNAcentral lists this ribosomal RNA (305 nucleotides) under uncultured bacterium. RNAcentral describes it as "bacterial SSU rRNA". It matches the Rfam family "Bacterial small subunit ribosomal RNA", at positions 338 to 660 of the family's 1533-position model. The record is from RNAcentral.
CCUACGGGACGCAGCAGUGGGGGAUAUUGCACAAUGGGGGAAACCCUGAUGCAGCGACGCCGCGUGAGCGAUGAAGUAUUUCGGUAUGUAAAGCUCUAUCGGCAGGGAAGAAAAUGACGGUACCUGACUAAGAAGCCCCGGCUAACUACGUGCCAGCAGCCGCGGUAAUACGUAGGGGGCGAGCGUUAUCCGGAUUCACUGGGUGUAAAGGGAGCGUAGACGGCGACGCAAGUCUGGAGUGAAAGCCCGGGGCCUAACCCCGGGACUGCUCUGGAAACUGCGUCGCUGGAGUACGGGAGGGGCAG